Molecule: transfer RNA, 74 nt
Filed under: Carbonactinospora thermoautotrophica
Lineage: Bacteria; Bacillati; Actinomycetota; Actinomycetes; Kitasatosporales; Carbonactinosporaceae
Description: Streptomyces thermoautotrophicus tRNA
Rfam family: tRNA
About the family: Transfer RNA (tRNA) molecules are approximately 80 nucleotides in length. Their secondary structure includes four short double-helical elements and three loops (D, anti-codon, and T loops).
Source: Rfam by way of RNAcentral
GGGCGCAUAGCUCAGUUGGUCAGAGCGUCGGUCUUACAAACCGAAGGUCGCUGGUUCGAGUCCGGCUGCGCCCA